AGAGAUGGAUUGGUGCCGUUCGGGAACUCUGAGACAGGUGCUGCAUGGCUGUCGUCAGCUCGUGUUGUGAAAUGUUGGGUUAAGUCCCGCAACGAGCGCAACCCUUAUCCUUUGUUGCCAGCGGUUAGGCCGGGAACUCAAAGGAGACUGCCAGUGAUAAACUGGAGGAAGGUGGGGAUGACGUCAAGUCAUCAUGGCCCUUACGAGUAGGGCUACACACGUGCUACAAUGGCGCAUACAAAGAGAAGCGACCUCGCGAGAGCAAGCGGACCUCAUAAAGUGCGUCGUAGUCCGGAUUGGAGUCUGCAACUCGACUCCAUGAAGUCGGAAUCGCUAGUAAUCGUGGAUCAGAAUGCCACGGUGAAUACGUUCCCGGGCCUUGUACACACCGCCCGUCACACCAUGGGAGUGGGUUGCAAAAGAAGUAGGUAGCUUAACCUUCGGGAGGGCGCUUACCACUUUGUGAUUCAUGACUGGGGUGAAGUCGUAACAAGGUAGGCGUAGUGCU
Molecule: ribosomal RNA, 508 nt
Filed under: uncultured bacterium
Lineage: Bacteria
Description: bacterial SSU rRNA
Rfam family: Bacterial small subunit ribosomal RNA
Source: RNAcentral